AGAACGAACGCUGGCGGCAUGCCUAACACAUGCAAGUCGAACGCUUCCGGGGCUUCGGUCGCGGAGGAGUGGCGCACGGGUGAGUAGCGCGUGGGAACCUGCCCUGUUGUGGGGGAUAACCGAGGGAAACUUCGGCUAAUACCGCAUACGCCCCGGGACUUGGUCUUCGGAUUAGGUCUGGGGGGAAAGAUUGAUCGCAGCAGGAGGGGCCCGCGUCGGAUUAGCUGGUUGGUGGGGUAACGGCUCACCAAGGCGAUGAUCCGUAGCUGGUCUGAGAGGAUGAUCAGCCACACUGGGACUGAGACACGGCCCAGACUCCUACGGGAGGCAGCAGUGGGGAAUAUUGGACAAUGGGGGCAACCCUGAUCCAGCAAUGCCGCGUGAGUGAUGAAGGCCUUAGGGUUGUAAAGCUCUUUCGCCCGCGACGAUGAUGACGGUAGCGGGAGAAGAGCCCGGCUAACUUCGUGCCAGCAGCCGCGGU
RNAcentral lists this ribosomal RNA (481 nucleotides) under uncultured bacterium. RNAcentral describes it as "SSU rRNA". It matches the Rfam family "Bacterial small subunit ribosomal RNA", at positions 26 to 521 of the family's 1533-position model. The record is from RNAcentral.